This 376-nucleotide ribosomal RNA is filed under the name uncultured bacterium. Its description in RNAcentral is "bacterial SSU rRNA". It matches the Rfam family "Bacterial small subunit ribosomal RNA", at positions 524 to 898 of the family's 1533-position model. The record is from RNAcentral.
UACGUAGGUGGCGAGCGUUGUCCGGAAUUACUGGGUGUAAAGGGCGAGUAGGCGGGGCUGCAAGUCAGGUGUGAAAUUUAUGGGCUCAACCCAUAAACUGCAUUUGAAACUGCGGUUCUUGAGUGAUGGAGAGGCAGGCGGAAUUCCUAGUGUAGCGGUGAAAUGCGUAGAUAUUAGGAGGAACACCAGUGGCGAAGGCGGCCUGCUGGACAUUAACUGACGCUGAGGCGCGAAAGCGUGGGGAGCAAACAGGAUUAGAUACCCUGGUAGUCCACGCUGUAAACGAUGGAUACUAGGUGUGGGGGGUACUGACCCCCCCCGUGCCGGAGUUAACACAAUAAGUAUCCCACCUGGGGAGUACGGCCGCAAGGUUGAA